CGGCCGCGGAGGCCCCGGCGACCGGGCCCGCCCCGCUGGCCGGGACCCCGGCGGCGGUUGGGGCGCCGGGGGUCGCGUCCCCGGCGGCGGGC
RNAcentral lists this transfer RNA (92 nucleotides) under Micromonospora sp. MW-13. RNAcentral's name for it is "tRNA-Gly". The record is from RNAcentral. Lineage: Bacteria; Bacillati; Actinomycetota; Actinomycetes; Micromonosporales; Micromonosporaceae.